UACGUAGGGGGCAAGCGUUGUCCGGAUUUAUUGGGCGUAAAGAGCGUGUAGGCGGUUUGGUAGGUCCGCUGUGAAAACUCGAGGCUCAACCUCGAGACGCCGGUGGAAACCAUCAGACUAGAGUCCGGAAGAGGAGAGUGGAAUUCCUGGUGUAGCGGUGAAAUGCGUAGAUAUCGGAAGGAACACCUGUGGCGAAAGCGGCUCACUGGACCACAACUGACGCUGAGGCACGAAAGCUAGGGGAGCAAACAGG
RNAcentral lists this ribosomal RNA (253 nucleotides) under uncultured bacterium. RNAcentral's name for it is "partial 16S ribosomal RNA". It matches the Rfam family "Bacterial small subunit ribosomal RNA", at positions 524 to 776 of the family's 1533-position model. The record is from RNAcentral.